Molecule: ribosomal RNA, 587 nt
Filed under: uncultured bacterium
Lineage: Bacteria
Description: bacterial SSU rRNA
Rfam family: Bacterial small subunit ribosomal RNA
Source: RNAcentral
CCUACGGGAGGCAGCAGUGAGGAAUAUUGCGCAAUGGGGGAAACCCUGACGCAGCAACGCCGCGUGGGUGAAGAAGGCCUUCGGGUCGUAAAGCCCUUUCGGACGGGACGAACGCUCCGCGGUGACAACCCGCGGAGCCUGACGGUACCGUAAGAAGAAGCACCGGCUAACUCCGUGCCAGCAGCCGCGGUAAUACGGAGGGUGCAAGCGUUGUUCGGAAUUACUGGGCGUAAAGCGCGUGUAGGCGGCCUUGCAAGCCGGACGUGAAAGCCCUCGGCUUAACCGGGGAAGUGCGUCUGGAACUGCUCGGCUCGAGUACGGGAGAGGGAGGCGGAAUUCCCAGUGUAGAGGUGAAAUUCGUAGAUAUUGGGAGGAACACCGGUGGCGAAAGCGGCCUCCUGGACCGAUACUGACGCUGAGACGCGAAAGCGUGGGGAGCAAACAGGAUUAGAUACCCUGGUAGUCCACGCUGUAAACGAUGGGCACUAGGUGUGGGGGGUAUCCACUCCUCCCGUGCCGCAGCUAACGCAUUAAGUGCCCCGCCUGGGGAGUACGGCCGCAAGGUUAAAACUCAAAGGAAUUGACGG